Long non-coding RNA from Homo sapiens (human), 987 nucleotides. Ensembl annotates it as long intergenic non-protein coding RNA 1934. Lineage: Eukaryota; Metazoa; Chordata; Mammalia; Primates; Hominidae. The record is from Ensembl.
AUGUCCACAGAAAAAAGACCAUGUGAGGAGAUAGCAAGAAUACCCUAUCUGCAAGCCAUGGAGAGGUCUCAGCAGAAACCAAAACUGCCAACAACUUAAUCUUGGACUUCUAUCCUCUAUAAAUCCUACUCAACGUGAAGAUGAUGAGAAUGAAGACCUUUAUGAUGAUCUGCUUCCACUUAAAGAAUAGUAUUUGGCUGACUCCUGGACUAUGCAAGCACAAGAAGAGAUUUCAGAAGGUUUGGAAGAGAGUCUCUUCUGAGAGGCUGAGGGCUAAGAAGACUGCCCUGUGCAGGAAAGAUGUUGGAGUGCAAGCCCAUCUGGAAUGGAGAGACCUCGAUGAAACACAUAGGCAAUUAAUUAGAUCCCAGAAAGGCCACACUGUGCAAAACCCUGAGGUAUCAUGAAGAAAUCCAUAUGCCCUGAAGUUACCAUCCUAGAGACAUCAUUUGGAGAGACUACAGUGCACAGAAGUAGAGAGGCCCAGCUGUGCCUGUCCCCAACUGAUGGAGUCUUCUCAGUGUCAGUCACCAGACAUACCCUGAAACAAGAUGGUGCUGGUAACAUCAUAGGAAAUUAGAUCUAGAAGAUGUGGUCUAGUCUCUUCUCUUGCAUACUCAUGGCCCAUCAUGAUCUGAAGGCAGCGGUGGUUGCUGGUGGAGGAUGUGAGCUUUGGAACUGGAGCUCUUUGAUUCAAAGCUCUGCCGCUUACUCACUGGAUAAGACCAUGAUCAAGUUAUUUCAUCUGAAAAAUUGAGUUGACUGCAGGUAACUGAAACUGCGGAAAGUGAAACUGCAGAUAAGAGGGACCACUGUAAAUAAGUGACAUGAAUGAUACUGCAAAGGACCAUAGCCUAACCAGCCAAGCAAACUGGAAGUACCUUUAGACUCACGCUUUGCCAAGCUCAGUUCCAGAAUCACAUGAUGAAAAGAAUGAUGGAAAGAAAAUGUUUGUGAUAUUAAAAUUAAGGAAAUUACUCCAACUCA